CAGGCCUUGACAUCCCAUUACCUUCAAGGAAACGGGGNUUCUUUUGGGAGCAGGGAGAAGGUGGUGCAUGGUCGUCGUCAGCUNUUGUCAUGAGAUGUUUGAUUUAGUCCCGCGAGGAGCGCAACCCUUGCCUUUAGUUACCGUCAUUAACUUGGGCAUUUUAGAGGGAUUGCCGGGGACAAACCGGAGGAAGGUGGGGAUGACGUCAGAUCAUCAUGCCCCUUAUGGCAUGGGCUACACACGUGUUCCAAUGGUGGGUACAGAGGGCAGCGAAGCCGGGAGGGGGAGGAAAUCCCAGAAAGCCGUUUUCAGUUCGGAUUGCAGGCUGCAACUCGCCUGCAUGAAGUNGGAAUCGNUAGUAAUNG
This 365-nucleotide ribosomal RNA is filed under the name uncultured bacterium. RNAcentral's name for it is "bacterial SSU rRNA". It matches the Rfam family "Bacterial small subunit ribosomal RNA", at positions 975 to 1344 of the family's 1533-position model. The record is from RNAcentral.